RNAcentral lists this transfer RNA (85 nucleotides) under Spirochaetes bacterium RIFOXYC1_FULL_54_7. Its description in RNAcentral is "tRNA-Ser". It matches the Rfam family "tRNA". Rfam says of the family: Transfer RNA (tRNA) molecules are approximately 80 nucleotides in length. Their secondary structure includes four short double-helical elements and three loops (D, anti-codon, and T loops). Lineage: Bacteria; Pseudomonadati; Spirochaetota. The record is from RNAcentral. RNAcentral also lists the same sequence under 7 other names.
GGAGCGGUGUCCGAGCGGUUUAAGGAGGCGGUCUUGAAAACCGUUGUGCCGUAAGGCACCGGGGGUUCGAAUCCCCCCUGCUCCG